RNAcentral lists this ribosomal RNA (430 nucleotides) under uncultured Alphaproteobacteria bacterium. Its description in RNAcentral is "bacterial SSU rRNA". It matches the Rfam family "Bacterial small subunit ribosomal RNA", at positions 958 to 1385 of the family's 1533-position model. Lineage: Bacteria; Pseudomonadati; Pseudomonadota; Alphaproteobacteria. The record is from RNAcentral.
AACGCGAAGAACCUUACCAGGCCUUGACAUCCCGGUCGCGGCUCCUUGAAAGAGGGGCCUUCAGUUCGGCUGGACCGGUGACAGGUGCUGCAUGGCUGUCGUCAGCUCGUGUCGUGAGAUGUUGGGUUAAGUCCCGCAACGAGCGCAACCCUCGCCCUUAGUUGCCAUCAUUCAGUUGGGCACUCUAAGGGGACUGCCGGUGAUAAGCCGCGAGGAAGGUGGGGAUGACGUCAAGUCCUCAUGGCCCUUACGGCCUGGGCCACACACGUGCUACAAUGGCGGUGACAGUGGGCAGCAAAGGGGCAACCCGGAGCUAAUCUCAAAAAGCCGUCUCAGUUCGGAUUGCACUCUGCAACUCGGGUGCAUGAAGUCGGAAUCGCUAGUAAUCGCGGAUCAGCACGCCGCGGUGAAUACGUUCCCGGGCCUUGUA